RNAcentral lists this ribosomal RNA (301 nucleotides) under uncultured bacterium. Its description in RNAcentral is "partial 16S ribosomal RNA". It matches the Rfam family "Bacterial small subunit ribosomal RNA", at positions 509 to 807 of the family's 1533-position model. The record is from RNAcentral.
CAGCAGCCGCGGUAAUACGUAGGGUGCAAGCGUUAAUCGGAAUUACUGGGCGUAAAGCGUACGUAGGCGGCUUUGUAAGUUAGAGGUGAAAGCCUGGUGCUCAACACCAGAACUGCCUUUAAGACUGCAUCGCUUGAACGUCGGAGAGGUGAGUGGAAUUCCGAGUGUAGAGGUGAAAUUCGUAGAUAUUCGGAAGAACACCAGUGGCGAAGGCGGCUCACUGGACGACUGUUGACGCUGAGGUACGAAAGCGUGGGGAGCAAACAGGAUUAGAUACCCCGGUAGUCCCUGUCUCUUAUAC